AUUGAACGCUGGCGGCAGGCCUAACACAUGCAAGUCGAAUGGUAACAGGAAACAGCUUGCUGUUUCGCUGACGAGUGGCGGACGGGUGAGUAAUGUCUGGGAAACUGCCUGAUGGAGGGGGAUAACUACUGGAAACGGUAGCUAAUACCGCAUAACGUCGCAAGACCAAAGAGGGGGACCUUCGGGCCUCUUGCCAUCAGAUGUGCCCAGAUGGGAUUAGCUAGUAGGUGGGGUAACGGCUCACCUUGGCGACGAUCCCUAGCUGGUCUGAGAGGAUGACCAGCCACACUGGAACUGAGACACGGACCAGACUCCUACGGGAGGCAGCAGUGGGGAAUAUUGCACAAUGGGCGCAAGCCUGAUGUAGCCAUGGCGCGUGUAUGAAGAAGGCCUUCGGGUUGUAAAGUUCUUUCAGCGGGGAGGAAGGGAGUAAAGUUAAUCCCUUUGCUCAUUGACGUUACCCGCAGAAGAAGCACCGGCUAACUCCGUG
RNAcentral lists this ribosomal RNA (490 nucleotides) under uncultured bacterium. RNAcentral describes it as "partial 16S ribosomal RNA". It matches the Rfam family "Bacterial small subunit ribosomal RNA", at positions 30 to 507 of the family's 1533-position model. The record is from RNAcentral.